Moniliophthora roreri is the source of this 114-nucleotide non-coding RNA. The record is from Rfam. Lineage: Eukaryota; Fungi; Basidiomycota; Agaricomycetes; Agaricales; Marasmiaceae.
AGCAGCUGUACCAUCCACAAAAUAACAAUCCCCUCGCCUUUUACUAGGGGAUUCCGUGGGGGCGGUAUACUUAACGCUGCGUGAACAAUCUUUGGGCUCACGUCUCUUCGAGAC